CUACGGGUCGCACCAGUGGGGAAUAUUGCACAAUGGGCGCAAGCCUGAUGCAGCCAUGCCGCGUGUAUGAAGAAGGCCUUCGGGUUGUAAAGUACUUUCAGCGGGGAGGAAGGGAGUAAAGUUAAUACCUUUGCUCAUUGACGUUACCCGCAGAAGAAGCACCGGCUAAUUCCGUGCCAGCAGCCGCGGUAAUACGGAGGGUGCAAGCGUUAAUCGGAAUUACUGGGCGUAAAGCGCACGCAGGCGGUUUGUUAAGUCAGAUGUGAAAUCCCCGGGCUCAACCUGGGAACUGCAUCUGAUACUGGCAAGCUUGAGUCUCGUAGAGGGGGGUAGAAUUCCAGGUGUAGCGGUGAAAUGCGUAGAGAUCUGGAGGAAUACCGGUGGCGAAGGCGGCCCCCUGGACGAAGACUGACGCCCAGGUGCGAAAGCGUGGGGAGCAAACAGGAUUAGAUACCCGGGUAGUC
This 464-nucleotide ribosomal RNA is filed under the name uncultured bacterium. RNAcentral describes it as "partial 16S ribosomal RNA". It matches the Rfam family "Bacterial small subunit ribosomal RNA", at positions 339 to 795 of the family's 1533-position model. The record is from RNAcentral.